GUUUAUUUUCAUAACAGAAGUUGGAUACGAAGCGAACUAGAAAAUAAAAUAGUUGGAUUACAUUACCUUUUUAUUACAAAUAAAGACUUCUGACUUUUAAAAAACAAAUAAGACUGAAAUCUCAUAUAGAUCGGUCUACAACAAAUCGAGUCAAGUUUCAGAUAUUGUAACUAGAAUUGUGCCCCUAGCUAUGUUAAUU
This 199-nucleotide small RNA is filed under the name Arabidopsis thaliana (thale cress). RNAcentral describes it as "ATSL281500". The record is from RNAcentral. Lineage: Eukaryota; Viridiplantae; Streptophyta; Magnoliopsida; Brassicales; Brassicaceae.